AAUCAGGGAGCUACAGUCGGCAUUCUCCCUCAGAUCGAAUCUGAUUAGGGCAUGGGCACGAAGUAUCUUCUCUGUUGCUCCUUUUUUCUGAGAUUUACCCUCUAUCUGUAAAGACAUAGCUCUCAUUUCUACCACCUGUAACCAACCGAUGACCGUCCAGAACAGGCAUGGAUGGACACUUGAUCCAAACCAACCAAUCAAGACUCUGCCAGCAAUUAUAAAAAAUCUCUAAGCCUAAACGUAGACCUGUGGGAUAGCACUACAUGUAGAAAACCUGAGAAAGUUCACCUACAGAGAGAAGUAUGAAGCUCAUGGACUCAGAAGAUAAAAAGAGCGUGUGGCCACCAAGACUGAGAGAGAUGAGGACAUAGGGAGAAACUGAGGGGCUGCCUGGUGGCUUUCCUGGGAUGGAGUCCUUCAGACUUGACUAUACUUCUUGCCUUUGGACAUUAUGGAAUAGCUCUUUUGAAACUUAAGAUACAUUGCACAUUUUUCUUA
Long non-coding RNA from Hyaena hyaena (striped hyena), 498 nucleotides. RefSeq lists it as uncharacterized. NCBI's taxonomy places the organism in Eukaryota, Metazoa, Chordata, Mammalia, Carnivora, Hyaenidae. The transcript has 2 exons. The record is from RefSeq and is a predicted model, not a curated record.